Molecule: ribosomal RNA, 420 nt
Filed under: uncultured Streptomyces sp.
Lineage: Bacteria; Bacillati; Actinomycetota; Actinomycetes; Kitasatosporales; Streptomycetaceae
Description: bacterial SSU rRNA
Rfam family: Bacterial small subunit ribosomal RNA
Source: RNAcentral
GAAUUCCUAGUGAUUUUACCUGAUAGCGGCCGCAGAGUUUGAUCCUGGCUCAGGACAAACGCUGGCGGCGUGCCUAAUACAUGCAAGUCGAGCGGCGCGGCGCAAGCCGUGCAGCGGCAGACGGGUGAGUAACACGUAGGUAACCUUGCCCGACGGGCGGGGAUACCCUUGGGAAACCGAGGCUUAAUACCGCAUACAAGCCCGGCGCAAGCCCGGUUUGGAAAGGGGCAACCCGCCGACGGAAGGGCUUGCGCGCAUAAUGAGUUGGCGGGGUAACGGCCCCCAAACACAUUCCUUACCCCCCUUAAAAGGGAAACCGCCCCCUUGGAACUUAAGCCAAAAUUUAGGGAGGGCCUGGGAAAUUUUUCCCAAUUGGGAAACCUUAACAAACCUUUGGGAAACCAGGUUAAACAACCCGAA